UGGGGAAUUUUGGACAAUGGGGGAAACCCUGAUCCAGCCAUCCCGCGUGUGCGAUGAAGGCCUUCGGGUUGUAAAGCACUUUUGGCAGGAAAGAAACGUCGCGGGUUAAUACCCCGCNAAACUGACGGUACCUGCAGAAUAAGCAACGGCUAACUACGUGCCAGCAGCCGCGGUAAUACGUAGGGUGCAAGCGUUAAUCGGAAUUACUGGGCGUAAAGCGUGCGCAGGCGGUUCGGAAAGAAAGAUGUGAAAUCCCAGAGCUUAACUUUGGAACUGCAUUUUUAACUACCGGGCUAGAGUGUGUCAGAGGGAGGUGGAAUUCCGCGUGUAGCAGUGAAAUGCGUAGAUAUGCGGAGGAACACCGAUGGCGAAGGCAGCCUCCUGGGGAUAACACUGACGCUCAUGCACGAAAGCGUGGGGAGCAAACAGGAUUAGAUACCCUGGUAGUCACGCCCUAAACGAUGUCAACUAGCUAGUUGGGGGCCUUUGCGGGCCUUGGGUAGCGCAGCUAACGCGUGAAGUUACCGCCCUGGGGAGUACGGUCGCAAGAUUAAAACUUAAAGGAAUUG
RNAcentral lists this ribosomal RNA (569 nucleotides) under uncultured bacterium. RNAcentral describes it as "partial 16S ribosomal RNA". It matches the Rfam family "Bacterial small subunit ribosomal RNA", at positions 355 to 912 of the family's 1533-position model. The record is from RNAcentral.